UACGGAGGGUGCAAGCGUUGUUCGGAAUUAUUGGGCGUAAAGCGCACGCAGGCGGGUUCGUGUGUCGAUUGUGAAAGCCCCAGGCUUAACCUGGGAAUUGCAGUCGAAACUGCGGAUCUUGAAUACCUGAGAGGGUGGGAGAAUUCCUGGUGGAGUAGUGAAAUACGUAGAGAUCAGGAGGAAUACCUGAGGCGAAGGCGCCUACCUGGCAGUGUAUUGACGCUGAGGUGCGAAAGCGUGGGUAGCAAACAGG
RNAcentral lists this ribosomal RNA (253 nucleotides) under uncultured bacterium. Its description in RNAcentral is "partial 16S ribosomal RNA". It matches the Rfam family "Bacterial small subunit ribosomal RNA", at positions 524 to 776 of the family's 1533-position model. The record is from RNAcentral.